This 422-nucleotide ribosomal RNA is filed under the name uncultured bacterium. Its description in RNAcentral is "bacterial SSU rRNA". It matches the Rfam family "Bacterial small subunit ribosomal RNA", at positions 355 to 774 of the family's 1533-position model. The record is from RNAcentral.
UGAGGAAUAUUGGUCAAUGGACGAGAGUCUGAACCAGCCAAAUCGCGUGAAGGAAGACUGCCCUACGGGUUGUAAACUUCUUUUGUACAGGAAUAAAAGACAUUACGUGUAAUGUAUUGCAUGUACUGUACGAAUAAGCAUCGGCUAACUCCGUGCCAGCAGCCGCGGUAAUACGGAGGAUGCGAGCGUUAUCCGGAUUUAUUGGGUCUAAAGGGUGCGCAGGCGGGAUUUUAAGUCAGCGGUGAAAUGUUCAGGCUCAACCUGAACACUGCCGUUGAAACUGGGAUUCUUGAGUAUGGAUGAAGUAGGCGGAAUUCGUUGUGUAGCGGUGACAUGCUUAGAGAUAACGAGGAACUCCGAUUGCGUAGGCAGCUUACUAAGCCAUAACUGACGCUCAAGCACGAAAGCGUGGGGAUCAAACA